GUCCCUGGUGGAUAGUUGUCUAUGAUUGUUUAUUCGUUGGUCCCUGGUGGAUAGUUUAUGUUCAUUGUUUAUUCGUUGGUCCCUGGUUGAUAGUUGUCUCAUUGUUUAUUCGUUGGUCCCUGGUGGAUAGUUGUUCUCAUUGUUUAUUCGUUGGUCCCUGGUUGAUAGUUGUGUUCAUUGUUUAUUCGUUGGUCCCUGGUUGAUGUUUGUGUUCAUUGUUUAUUCGUUGGUCCCUGGUGGAUAGUUGUCUCAUUGUUUAUUCGUUGGUCCCUGGUUGAUAGUUGUGUUCAUUGUUUAUUCGUUGGUCCCUGGUGGAUAGUUGUCUCGUUCAAUUUGGCAAUAAUGACACAUAUCCUAGUAUUUACAUCUUGAUAUCAACAUAAUUUA
This 387-nucleotide long non-coding RNA is filed under the name Mytilus galloprovincialis (Mediterranean mussel). Lineage: Eukaryota; Metazoa; Mollusca; Bivalvia; Mytilida; Mytilidae. The record is from RNAcentral.